CGUAAAUAUCGAUUUAGUUGUAGGAUUAUAAUAGAUGAAAUGGAACGUAGUAUUCACAGAGUAAACUUUAAUUCCAAUAGCAUUGGAAUUUCCGUACGGAUUCAAAGUCUACGGAGCUCUAGAAUACAGAUUUUAGCCACCCAUCGCCUUUUUCCGUAAGCUAAUUGUCUUGUAUGUUUUGAAAGCGUAUAGGGAAAUUGUCUAUUGAAGUGAGAAUCGGCUUCCUGUUAGGCGCGGAAGACGACGUCGCGUCUAUGACGGUACGGAGGACAGCUGCGCUCCAGUCAAUGCUGUGGCGGCGCGGGAGGCCUGAUAAAGAGGGCUGAAGAAAUACUGAAAUACUCAUUUAUUCAUAAAUAAAUAAUUAUUUACAUGAUAAUUAGACCUGGCCGGUAACUUAUUUGUACAGGUACGGGUCUACAACCGCGACGACAUCGUGCACCUCGACCUCUACUGUUCAGGUCGUCUAUCUUAUAAUAGUCUUUAUAUUUUUGCAGUCACAGCCCAGCACCAGCCAAAAUUAUGGGUCGGCAGAGUAGUAGCCACUCCAGAACCCUUUCAACGCCACUGCCAAGCCUUGGUCUCCCUGCGAUGUAUGACAGCGAUGCAUUGGAUAUUAGUAAUAUAGAAUCAGAAAAUAAUAGAGAAUCCGCUGAAGUAAAUAUUGAGUUAAUACAAGCUGAAACUUUUGAUCCAUGUUUACGUAUUCAAGAGACUUAGACAUGCACAUCUCAAAGUAUGCCAGUAAUGGACGAUAGAGACUGGGAAGAAAUCUGUAAGGAGAACAUUCCCAACAAUAUAGAAGUCCCAAAUGUAUUUGACUCUUCAACACCAAAGGCUAUGCUGCGUAAACCAGUCCUAAAGAGUUAUCUGUGUCUCAGAACAAAAGGAAAAUUUAUUUUAAUCCGUUGGAGACAAGGAAGCGUAUUAUGAUCCACACGGAUAAAAGAAUUGAAUUUUUAAAACAGAAACAAACGAUAAGAGAACAUGAUUUGUCCAAUUAUGCAAAGGAAGAGCAUGAAAAACAUUUGCUGAACAAAGAAGAGGCCCACAAGAAAGCCAUGCUGCAUAAAGAGGAGGCGCACCAAAAAGCGAUGCAGCAGAUGGAAGAAAGGCACAUUAAAAUAUAUGCAGCAGCGAGAAGAGUUGCAUCCAAUUGAGAUGGAAUGCAAGAAGAUGCAAUUAGAAAAUAUUAAAAAGAGUUUAAUGUAAAAUUUAUGUUUUUUUUUAAAUUAAUAUAGUUUUUUAAGUUACAUUCGU
This is a non-coding RNA of Plutella xylostella (diamondback moth), 1260 nucleotides long. The record is from RefSeq and is a predicted model, not a curated record. NCBI's taxonomy places the organism in Eukaryota, Metazoa, Arthropoda, Insecta, Lepidoptera, Plutellidae.